AUCUACCUUAAAUUAUAAAAUUAUUAGUAAAUAGAAAGUAUAAGAAAUAGAAAUACACAAUAUAAAGAAAAAUAAAUAAUAAGUAAAUAUAUAUUAUAAGAAAAUACCCAAUUUAAAAAAUGGAAAAUUACAUUAAGAUUUAAAAAUAUAUCUUAAAAUUUAAAAUAUAGAUAUUACGUAAAUAGAAAGUAUAACAAAUGGAAAUAUACAAUUUAAAAAAAAAAGAGAAAAUGUACAUUAAGAUUUAAACAUCUAUAUUAAAAUAUAAAAUAGAGAUAUUAAGUAAAUAAAAAGUACAAGAAAUGGAAAUACAUAUACAGGAAAAUAAAUAAUAAGUAAAUAAUAUAAAUAUAUAAUAUAUGAAUUAUAUAUAUAAUAAUAAGUAAAUACACAUUUUUUAAAAAAAAUGGAAAAAGUUCAUUAAGCAUUAAACAUCUAUCUUAAAAUAUAAAAUAUAUGAUAAAAGUAAAUACACAAUUUAAAAAAAAAUGGAAAAAGUACAUUAAGAUUUAAAUAUCUAUUUUAAAAUAUAAAAUAUAGAUAUUACGUAAAUAAAAAAUAUAAGAAGUGGAAAUAAACAUUUUAAAAAAUGGAAAAAGUACAUUAAGAUUUAAACAUCGAUCUUAAAAUGUACAUCUAUCUUAAAAUGGUAGUAAAUUAUAUAAAAAUGGAAAUACCACAUUUAACAAAAAAAAAAUAAAAAUGUAUAGUUUUACAUCAAGAAAGUCCCUAUAAAACUCAUUAUUCCAUCAACAUCAACCUCACACUAUCAAGAAAAACUUCAAAGCACUCGAGCAAAAAAAUGGUUCCACCAUCAACUCUUGCCGUCCCAAAAACCUUUAAUGACCUUGAAAGAGAUUUUUUAUAACAACGAACUUUUUGUUAGGUGGAUUCAUUGUUGGGAAACCCGCAACUUUCAAAAACCAAACUUAUUCAUGGGAAUUGAAUUGCUUUUCAUAGACUCAAAGGUAUUCUUACAAAUUUAAUAUUCGUACUAACUCUUUCAUGAUCAAACCAUUACAGUUAAUAAUCAUUCAAACGUUUAUCCCGAAACACUUCC
Molecule: long non-coding RNA, 1060 nt
Filed under: Brassica rapa (field mustard)
Lineage: Eukaryota; Viridiplantae; Streptophyta; Magnoliopsida; Brassicales; Brassicaceae
Description: long non-coding RNA (BRAP_LNC006582)
Source: RNAcentral